GAUGAACGCUAGCUACAGGCUUAACACAUGCAAGUCGAGGGGAAACGACAUCGAAAGCUUGCUUUUGAUGGGCGUCGACCGGCGCACGGGUGAGUAACGCGUAUCCAACCUGCCCACCACUUGGGGAUAACCUUGCGAAAGUAAGACUAAUACCCAAUGACGUCUCUAGAAGACAUCUGAAAGAGAUUAAAGAUUUAUCGGUGAUGGAUGGGGAUGCGUCUGAUUAGCUUGUUGGCGGGGUAACGGCCCACCAAGGCGACGAUCAGUAGGGGUUCUGAGAGGAAGGUCCCCCACAUUGGAACUGAGACACGGUCCAAACUCCUACGGGAGGCAGCAGUGAGGAAUAUUGGUCAAUGGACGGGAGUCUGAACCAGCCAAGUAGCGUGCAGGACGACGGCCCUAUGGGUUGUAAACUGCUUUUAUGUGGGAAUAAAGUGAGGGACGUGUCCCUUUUUGUAGGUACCACAUGAAUAAGGACCGGCUAAUUCCGUG
Molecule: ribosomal RNA, 492 nt
Filed under: uncultured bacterium
Lineage: Bacteria
Description: bacterial SSU rRNA
Rfam family: Bacterial small subunit ribosomal RNA
Source: RNAcentral